UGAGUAACGCGUGGGUAACCUGCCCUAUACACAUGGAUAACAUACUGAAAAGUUUACUAAUACAUGAUAAUAUAUAUUUACGGCAUCGUAGAUAUAUCAAAGUGUUAGCGGUAUAGGAUGGACCCGCGUUUGAUUAGCUAGUUGGUGAGAUAACUGCCCACCAAGGCGACGAUCAGUAGCCGACCUGAGAGGGUGAUCGGCCACAUUGGAACUGAGACACGGUCCAAACUCCUACGGGAGGCAGCAGCU
RNAcentral lists this ribosomal RNA (249 nucleotides) under uncultured Peptostreptococcus sp. Its description in RNAcentral is "partial 16S ribosomal RNA". It matches the Rfam family "Bacterial small subunit ribosomal RNA", at positions 107 to 355 of the family's 1533-position model. Lineage: Bacteria; Bacillati; Bacillota; Clostridia; Peptostreptococcales; Peptostreptococcaceae. The record is from RNAcentral.